Molecule: long non-coding RNA, 579 nt
Organism: Oreochromis niloticus (Nile tilapia)
Lineage: Eukaryota; Metazoa; Chordata; Actinopteri; Cichliformes; Cichlidae
Exons: 3
Source: RefSeq, a predicted model, not a curated record
AUCAAUGUUAGCAUCACUGGUCUUUGAACGCCACACCACCGAGUCCUCCUAAACACAGCUCAGAGCUAUGUUUAGUGUCCCGCUGUGACGCGCUGAUGUUCAGAUUUCACCAGUUUGAAGAGAACAUCAGGUCACUGAGACUGCACCACCUGCUGUCUGAGGUCCAGGAGAAGAGCAGCAGCAGGAGCAGCUGACAGGUGGAGCUGGUGGAGCUUGUUGUUCCUGUGUGAACAAACUACUGACUGAAGUCCACAAGAAGAUGAUGAUGGAGGAAGAGGAGGACAGAGCAGAGUCUGCAGGAUCCAGCUGUCCGUCUGUGAGGAGUGACCGGUCCAAAGGUCUACCUCCAGAUUUCAGUGGUGAACCUGGACCAACAAGAGGUCAGAGGUCACAGUCUGCAGGGUCCAGCUGUCCGUCUGUGAGGAGUGACCGGUCCAAAACUCCACCUCCACACUUCAGUGCUGAACCUGGAGCAACGAGGUCAGAGAGCUGUGAUGACUCCUUUACAUGUUUGUGUUUCCUGGAUAAAUCUGACCUGAAACAUCCUCAGAUUGUUACAAAGAUUCAUUAAAAAGAAAA